RNAcentral lists this small RNA (1648 nucleotides) under Vigna angularis var. angularis. Its description in RNAcentral is "Non-protein coding transcript". The record is from RNAcentral. Lineage: Eukaryota; Viridiplantae; Streptophyta; Magnoliopsida; Fabales; Fabaceae.
GUUAUAGUAAAGGGUUUUUUUUUUUUAUUCACGGUUUUGGAGUUGUUGGGUUUUGGAACGAUUCUUACAUUCACAACUUUGCUUUUGUAUUGAGUUUUGCAGAGAGAUGUGUGCAUUGUGAUUGCUUUUUGGGUGGGUGUCUAUGAUGAGGAUAUUGGUGUAGGCGAUAAAAUAGUUGUCGAUUUCAUUGAACAACAGAGAAGAAAAUAGAAAGAUAACCAAGUCAAAAAGAAAAUUUUGAGUGUCUAAAGAUUAAUCAUACUAUUUUCUUCAACUAUUUGGAUGAUUGCGUGGUUGCAUUAAUGGGUUGUGAGUGCUCAUAUUGUAGGAAAUGAGUUGAAUGGUUGUAAGUGUUGUGUUCUUAGCCAGACUGAGCGUGGUCUUCUGGAUACGUGACGUGAUAUAGGAAUAGUUUUAAAUUUCUAACAUGCGUUAUGAGGGUUGAAAUGUGAGAGAAGAUCCACCUCAUUAUAUAUAACAAUCAUAAUAUUAUAUUGUCAAGCAUGAUUGAUUUCUCUCUUUGAUUGAAGUUGAUUGCUUGAGUCACUAAACCAUUAUAGUUGAGCUAUUUUAUCUAGGCUAAAGUUUACCUUUUUGCUUUUCAUGAGGAUAUGGAAAAGUUCAAGUUUGGGGAUAUGGAAAAGUUCAAGUUUGGGAAGGAAAUUAUAAGAUUGGAAAAGAAUAGAGAGAUGACGCCAGAAGUUGCUAGCACAACCAUAAGCAUCCCUAACCUAGCCAGCAAAGCAACUCCAGCCUAGCCAGAAAGUCUUGCAACCCAGCCAUCAAAGCAUCUCUAGCUCAACGAGAGGAUUUUUUGGCCCAACAAGCAUAGCACAUCUAGCUCAGCAAGAGUAUUUUGUGGCCCAACGAGAGUGCACUUUUUGGAGAAGGUUUUAAAGUGGCAAGAGUGAAAGAAAAAGUUAGUUUUUUUGAUGUGGAAACACAAUUAAAGCUCAAGUAAGCAGUGUGGAGGCACAAUUUCACUUUAGGAGCUCAUGGAGGUGUAAAUUCUGUAGAAUUGAUGUUCUAGAGAAUUUUGUAGACUAGUUGGACAAGUAGAUACCUUGCUAGCGAGUAAUAUUGAGUUUUGGCAUUGAGUUUCAGAGGCUGGGCGAGACUUCUCGCUAGGAUGGGGAAGCUCUCUAUUUGACUCUCGUUGGGCGAGAGAGCUGCUCGUUGGGUGAGCAAGCCAGCGUUAAGCGCUAGGAUUAUGGCGUUGGGCGCCAUCUAUGCAGUUUUGCUUUGUGUAUUCUUUCCUUUUGUGCCUUGCUAGGUUUGAGUUGUAUCAAUACUUUGAUGCUUAUUUGAUAGUAUCUAUUGAAUUGUAUGAUGUAUGAUGAGGAUGAGUAUAUAGUGAUCAUGUGCAUCGUAGAUGGAUGUAAUUUCAUGACUCUCGUGGAAAGAUUCCAUGGUGGUGCCCUGUAAUGUAGUUGUUGAUGUAGGAAGCUCAAUCUUGGGCUUAUCCUGACGCUUCAAUAAUCUUUCCAUCUUGGUUAGAGAAUGGGAUUAUGUGGUAAGGAGUAGUAGGAGGUCCUAGUAUAUGGUCUGAUAUUCUUUGUCCAUAGGUAGUUGACAAAUUAAUCUUGUAUAGUAACUCGAAGGGAGCCAGCUGUUCCACCACUACAAGUGUACAAUCCGUCAUAGCUUG